Molecule: ribosomal RNA, 441 nt
Filed under: uncultured bacterium
Lineage: Bacteria
Description: partial 16S ribosomal RNA
Rfam family: Bacterial small subunit ribosomal RNA
Source: RNAcentral
CCUACGGGUGGCAGCAGUGGGGAAUAUUGCGCAAUGGGGGCAACCCUGACGCAGCAACGCCGCGUGAUUGAAGAAGGCCUUCGGGUUGUAAAGAUCUUUAAUCGGGGACGAAUUUUGACGGUACCCGAAGCAUAAGCUUCGGCGAACUACGUGCCAGCAGCCGCGGUACUACGUAGGGAGCAAUCGUUAUCCGGAUUUACUGGGUGUAAAGGGCGUGUAGGCGGGCACGCAAGCCAGAAGUGAAAUCUGGGGGCUUAACCCCCAAACUGCUUUUGGCACUGCGGGUCUUGAGUGUUGGAGGGGCAGGCGGAAUUCCCGGUGUAGCGGUGAAAUGCGUAGAUAUUGGGAGGAACACCAGUGGAGAAGGCAGCCUGCUGGACAUUAACUGACGCUGAGGCGCGAAAGCGUGGGUAGCAAACAGGAUUAGAUACCCCAGUAGUC